RNAcentral lists this ribosomal RNA (252 nucleotides) under uncultured bacterium. Its description in RNAcentral is "partial 16S ribosomal RNA". It matches the Rfam family "Bacterial small subunit ribosomal RNA", at positions 524 to 776 of the family's 1533-position model. The record is from RNAcentral.
UACGGGGGGCGACAGUGUUGUCGGAAUUACUGGGCGUAAAGGGCUCGUAGGCGGCCAACUAAGUCGGAUGUGAAAUCCCCAGGCUUAACCUGGGAACUGCAUCCGAUACUGGAUGGCUUGAAUCCGGGAGAGGGAUGCAGAAUUCCAGGUGUAGCGGUGAAAUGCGUAGAUAUCUGGAGGAAUACCGGUGGCGAAGGCGGCAUCCUGGACCGGCAUUGACGCUGAUGAGCGAAAGCUAGGGGAGCAAACGGG